GGCGGACGGGUGAGUAAUGCCUAGGAAUCUGCCUGGUAGUGGGGGACAACGUUUCGAAAGGAACGCUAAUACCGCAUACGUCCUACGGGAGAAAGUGGGGGAUCUUCGGACCUCACGCUAUCAGAUGAGCCUAGGUCGGAUUAGCUAGUUGGUGAGGUAAAGGCUCACCAAGGCGACGAUCCGUAACUGGUCUGAGAGGAUGAUCAGUCACACUGGAACUGAGACACGGUCCAGACUCCUACGGGAGGCAGCAGUGGGGAAUAUUGGACAAUGGGCGAAAGCCUGAUCCAGCCAUGCCGCGUGUGUGAAGAAGGUCUUCGGAUUGUAAAGCACUUUAAGUUGGGAGGAAGGGCAGUAAGUUAAUACCUUGCUGUUUUGACGUUACCAACAGAAUAAGCACCGGCUAACUUCGUGCCAGCAGCCGCGGUAAUACGAAGGGUGCAAGCGUUAAUCGGAAUUACUGGGCGUAAAGCGCGCGUAGGUGGUUCGUUAAGUUGG
RNAcentral lists this ribosomal RNA (498 nucleotides) under uncultured bacterium. Its description in RNAcentral is "bacterial SSU rRNA". It matches the Rfam family "Bacterial small subunit ribosomal RNA", at positions 97 to 591 of the family's 1533-position model. The record is from RNAcentral.